AUGAGUUCUCCCUGAGACUUUGAGUCUCCUGAAGGAACGUUGAAGACGACGACGUUGAUAGGCCGGGUGUGUAAGCGCAGCGAUGCGUUGAGCUAACCGGUACUAAUGAACCGUGAGGCUUAACCUUACAACGCCGAAG
Molecule: ribosomal RNA, 139 nt
Filed under: Salmonella enterica subsp. enterica serovar Schwarzengrund
Lineage: Bacteria; Pseudomonadati; Pseudomonadota; Gammaproteobacteria; Enterobacterales; Enterobacteriaceae
Description: partial 23S ribosomal RNA
Rfam family: Bacterial large subunit ribosomal RNA
Source: RNAcentral